GACGAACGCUGGCGGCGUGCUUAAAACAUGCAAGUCGAACGGUGAAGCUCAGAGCUUGCUCUGAGCGGAUCAGUGGCGAACGGGUGAGUAACACGUGAGUAACCUGCCCUGGACUUCGGG
RNAcentral lists this ribosomal RNA (120 nucleotides) under uncultured bacterium. RNAcentral describes it as "partial 16S ribosomal RNA". It matches the Rfam family "Bacterial small subunit ribosomal RNA", at positions 28 to 142 of the family's 1533-position model. The record is from RNAcentral.